RNAcentral lists this ribosomal RNA (328 nucleotides) under uncultured bacterium. Its description in RNAcentral is "bacterial SSU rRNA". It matches the Rfam family "Bacterial small subunit ribosomal RNA", at positions 568 to 898 of the family's 1533-position model. The record is from RNAcentral.
CGUGUAGGCGGUUGGUCAAGUCGGGUGUGAAAGCCUGGGGCUCAGCUCCAGAAGUGCAUCCGAUACUAGCCAGCUAGAGCGCGAUAGAGGAGGGUGGAAUUCCUGGUGUAGCGGUGAAAUGCGUAGAUAUCAGGAGGAACACCGGCGGCGAAGGCGGCCCUCUGGAUCGUUGCUGACGCUGAGACGCGAAAGCGUGGGGAGCAAACAGGAUUAGAUACCCUGGUAGUCCACGCCUUAAACGAUGGGUACUAGGUGUUCGGGGUGUUGACCCCCUGAGUGCCGCAGUUACGCAUAAGUCCCCGCCUGGGACUACGGCCGCAAGGCUAAA